UGAAGAAGGCCUUCGGGUUGUAAAGCACUUUUAUCGGGAACGAAGUACCACGGGUUAAUAACCUAUGGGGCUGACGGUACCCGAGGAAUAAGCACCGGCUAACUUCGUGC
This 110-nucleotide ribosomal RNA is filed under the name uncultured bacterium. Its description in RNAcentral is "partial 16S ribosomal RNA". It matches the Rfam family "Bacterial small subunit ribosomal RNA", at positions 406 to 508 of the family's 1533-position model. The record is from RNAcentral.